Molecule: long non-coding RNA, 2568 nt
Filed under: Canis lupus familiaris (dog)
Lineage: Eukaryota; Metazoa; Chordata; Mammalia; Carnivora; Canidae
Description: lncRNA (ENSCAFG00000036943.3)
Source: RNAcentral
AUUUUUUUACUUUAGAGUCAAAGAAAGUUAGAGUCAGAGAGGUAAAGUGACCUGCCCAAGGUCACACCACAAAUAAUCUGGGAAAACCAGGAACGGGUCAUCUGGUCUAACGUCCAAGUGAUACUCUUCUAAUGGUCAAGCACCAUGGUUUGCAGAGAUCAGGCUUUUUUUUUUUUUUUUUUUUUAAGAUUUUAUUUAUUUAUUCAUAAGAGACACACAGAGAGGCAGAGACACAGGCAGAGGGAGAAGCAGGCUCGCUGCGGGGAGCCCUAUGCAGGGACUUGAUCCCAGGACCCCGGGGUCACGACCUGAGCGGAAGGCACCUGCUCAACCGCCGAGCCCCCCAGGCGCCCCUGGCUUGCGGAGAUCAGAAUCUCCCGCGGUGUCACUCCACUAGCCCACUGAUCCUGUCGUUGUCGCUAGGAGCGUGGUGUCAUCACUCCCAUUUUCCAGGUGGGGAGGCUGAGGCCCUCGCAAGCUGGCGGGGUUGCCCAGAGGCACGCGGCGAGCCAGCGGCACAGGCAGGAGGGCUGCAGGGCUCCGCUGCUCCCUGGGGCCUGGCCCCCCCCCCCCCCCGGGGAGCCAGGCCUUGGACCUGCCUCCGACGGGGCCGCGUCCGCCGGGAGUGAUUUCGCAGCAGCGCCUCCGUGAGCACCUGGCGGGAAGGACGCGCAGGGCGGGCCGGGGCAGCCCCGAGCCCGGGAGGAACGACCUCUGGCUGUCCUUCAAGCCUCGACGUCAGUGCCCUCUACGUCCCUGCGGCCCACCCCCACCCACACCCAAUUCUCCAGCUCCCGCCGUUUCCAAGCUCUUUCGGCCACGAUUUUCCAGCCUUCUCAGCGCUGGGUCUGGACCGCCGACCUGGAGGAGCCGAACUCGAUGCGAUUUGCAUAACGUGCCCGAUUGGCUCCUGCGGCCGCGGUGGGCGGGCCCCACCAACCCACCUGCCGGGGCGGAGCGCAGGACCGGGGCGGGGCCGGAGGGCCACCUGGCCGCCUCCCGGGGCCCGACGCCCGCAGCGGCCGCGGCGUGGACCGCCUACACUCCACGCAGCCGCUUCGCAAAGCGCGGCCUCCCGGAAACGUGCAUCUGCGGGACCUUCGCAAAGCAGAGCGAGAAGACCACAUCUAGUCCUGAUCUCUGGGCUACAUGGACCUCAGGCCAGCCUCCAACCAACCAUCUCCAUCUCCAGGCUAAAACACGGUAAAAGUGAAAACCCUUGUCCAAACAAAAUUCUGCACAUAGAUGUUCACAGCAGCUUUAUCCAUAAUUGCCAAAAGCUGGAAGCAGCCAAGAUGUCUUUUAGCAGGUGAACAGAUACACGGUGGUAUAUCCAGAUAAUUGACUAUUAUUUAGCACCAAAAAAAAAAAAAAGUGUUACCAAGCCAUGAAAAGACAUGGAGAAACUUUCGGUGCAUUUUACUAAGUGAAAGAAGCUGAUCUGAAGAGGCUACAUACAUACUGUAUGAUUCCAACUAUGUGACAACUAGAAAAGACAAAACUAUGAAGACUAAAAAAACAUCAGUGGUUGCAGGGGUGGGGACGGAAGAGGAAGGGCUGAAUAGAGCACACAGGAUUUUUAAGGAAAUGGGAAGAUUCUGUAUGAUACUAUAAUGAUGGAAUCAGGUUAUUAUACGUUUGUCCAAACCCCCAGAAUGUGCAGCCCCAAGAGUGAGCGCUAAUGUAAACCAUGGACUCUGGGUGACCAUGAUGUGUCAGUGUAGGUUCAUUCCGUGUUACAAGGGUUCUGGUCUGAGACACCUAGGUGGCUCAGCGGUUGAGCGUCUGCCUUCGACUCAGGUCCUGGGAUCAAGUCCCACGUGGGGCUCCCUGCAUGGAGCUUGCUUCUCCCUCUGCUUGUGUCUCUGCCUCUCUCUCUCUCUCUGUCAUGAAUAAAUAAAUAAAAUCUUAAAAGAAAAAAAAAGGGUUCUGGUCAUCAGGUCAGUAUGUGUGUGUGUGUAUUUGGCGGGUGGGGGGGGGGGUUCCCCACACAUCAACAAGCAAAGCUCCAGACACCAGCUGAGUGCCCUAUAAUUCAACUCAAUUCUACCUGGAGACAAGGUUGGAUUCCACAGGUGAAGGGCUCAAUCCUACAAGACUAUCCCUCUCCUCCACCCCCGCUUCAGAUGCCAACCACAAGUUCAGGUUGUCACCUGUGCUUCUGACCCAUGGGAUCUAGAUCAGAGGUUCGAGAGAUACCCCCUCCCCGUCCUGGAUUCCAUUAAUUUGCUAAAGCUGCUCGUAGACCUCAGGAAACCUGUUUAUUCACUAGAUCACCGGUUUCUUAUAAAAAGCUAUAUAACUGGAGAACAGCCAGAGUGAAGAGACGCAUAGGGGGUGCGAGGUGUGCCUACUGAAGGGUACGGAGCUUCCAUAUCACUCUCGGAAUCACUAUGUUCACCAACCAGGAGUUCUUUGAAACCCAUCCUCUUGGGUUUUUAUGGAGGCUUCAUUACAAAGGCACAGCUGAUUAGGUCAUCAGCCAUUAGCUUCCCCAUUCAGCCUCCAGCAUCCCUCCCCUCCCAGGCCCACCCUCGGGUGCUUUCCAAAAGUCACCAUUAACAUAAC